RNAcentral lists this ribosomal RNA (446 nucleotides) under uncultured bacterium. RNAcentral's name for it is "partial 16S ribosomal RNA". It matches the Rfam family "Bacterial small subunit ribosomal RNA", at positions 338 to 795 of the family's 1533-position model. The record is from RNAcentral.
CCUACGGGGCGCAGCAGUCGAGAAUCAUUCACAAUGGGGGAAACCCUGAUGGUGCGACGCCGCGUGGGGGAAUGAAGGUCUUCGGAUUGUAAACCCCUGUCAUGUGGGCGCAAAUUAAAAAGAUAGUACCACAAGAGGAAGAGACUGCUAACUCUGUGCCAGCAGCCGCGGUAAUACAGAGGUCUCAAGCGUUGUUCGGAAUCACUGGGCGUAAAGCGUGCGUAGGCUGUUUCGUAAGUCGUGUGUGAAAGGCGCGGGCUCAACCCGCGGACGGCACAUGAUACUGCGAGACUAGAGUAAGGGAGGGGGAACCGGAAUUCUCGGUGUAGCAGUGAAAUGCGUAGAUAUCGAGAGGAACACUCGUGGCGAAGGCGGGUUCCUGGACAUUAACUGACGCUGAGGCACGAAGGCCAGGGGAGCGAAAGGGAUUAGAUACCCGGGUAGUC